Molecule: ribosomal RNA, 1368 nt
Filed under: Klebsiella aerogenes
Lineage: Bacteria; Pseudomonadati; Pseudomonadota; Gammaproteobacteria; Enterobacterales; Enterobacteriaceae
Description: bacterial SSU rRNA
Rfam family: Bacterial small subunit ribosomal RNA
Source: RNAcentral
ACAGAGAGCUUGCUCUCGGGUGACGAGCGGCGGACGGGUGAGUAAUGUCUGGGAAACUGCCUGAUGGAGGGGGAUAACUACUGGAAACGGUAGCUAAUACCGCAUAACGUCGCAAGACCAAAGUGGGGGACCUUCGGGCCUCAUGCCAUCAGAUGUGCCCAGAUGGGAUUAGCUAGUAGGUGGGGUAAUGGCUCACCUAGGCGACGAUCCCUAGCUGGUCUGAGAGGAUGACCAGCCACACUGGAACUGAGACACGGUCCAGACUCCUACGGGAGGCAGCAGUGGGGAAUAUUGCACAAUGGGCGCAAGCCUGAUGCAGCCAUGCCGCGUGUAUGAAGAAGGCCUUCGGGUUGUAAAGUACUUUCAGCGAGGAGGAAGGCGUUAAGGUUAAUAACCUUGGUGAUUGACGUUACUCGCAGAAGAAGCACCGGCUAACUCCGUGCCAGCAGCCGCGGUAAUACGGAGGGUGCAAGCGUUAAUCGGAAUUACUGGGCGUAAAGCGCACGCAGGCGGUCUGUCAAGUCGGAUGUGAAAUCCCCGGGCUCAACCUGGGAACUGCAUUCGAAACUGGCAGGCUAGAGUCUUGUAGAGGGGGGUAGAAUUCCAGGUGUAGCGGUGAAAUGCGUAGAGAUCUGGAGGAAUACCGGUGGCGAAGGCGGCCCCCUGGACAAAGACUGACGCUCAGGUGCGAAAGCGUGGGGAGCAAACAGGAUUAGAUACCCUGGUAGUCCACGCCGUAAACGAUGUCGACUUGGAGGUUGUGCCCUUGAGGCGUGGCUUCCGGAGCUAACGCGUUAAGUCGACCGCCUGGGGAGUACGGCCGCAAGGUUAAAACUCAAAUGAAUUGACGGGGGCCCGCACAAGCGGUGGAGCAUGUGGUUUAAUUCGAUGCAACGCGAAGAACCUUACCUACUCUUGACAUCCAGAGAACUUAGCAGAGAUGCUUUGGUGCCUUCGGGAACUCUGAGACAGGUGCUGCAUGGCUGUCGUCAGCUCGUGUUGUGAAAUGUUGGGUUAAGUCCCGCAACGAGCGCAACCCUUAUCCUUUGUUGCCAGCGGUCCGGCCGGGAACUCAAAGGAGACUGCCAGUGAUAAACUGGAGGAAGGUGGGGAUGACGUCAAGUCAUCAUGGCCCUUACGAGUAGGGCUACACACGUGCUACAAUGGCAUAUACAAAGAGAAGCGACCUCGCGAGAGCAAGCGGACCUCAUAAAGUAUGUCGUAGUCCGGAUUGGAGUCUGCAACUCGACUCCAUGAAGUCGGAAUCGCUAGUAAUCGUAGAUCAGAAUGCUACGGUGAAUACGUUCCCGGGCCUUGUACACACCGCCCGUCACACCAUGGGAGUGGGUUGCAAAAGAAGUAGGUAGC